This 443-nucleotide ribosomal RNA is filed under the name uncultured bacterium. Its description in RNAcentral is "partial 16S ribosomal RNA". It matches the Rfam family "Bacterial small subunit ribosomal RNA", at positions 338 to 795 of the family's 1533-position model. The record is from RNAcentral.
CCUACGGGCGGCAGCAGUGGGGAAUAUUGGACAAUGGGGGGAACCCUGAUCCAGCGACGCCGCGUGAGUGAAGAAGUAUUUCGGUAUGUAAAGCUCUAUCAGCAGGGAAGAAAGAAAUGACGGUACCUGACUAAGAAGCCCCGGCUAACUACGGGCCAGCAGCCGCGGGACUACGUAGGGUGCAAGCGUUAACCGGAUUUACUGGGUGUAAAGGUAGCGUAGACGGCGAUGCAAGUCCGAAGUGAAAGGCCGGGGCCCAACCCCUGAACUGCUUUUGAAACUGUCUGGCUGGAGUGCAGGAGAGGGAAGUGGAAUUCCUAGUGUAGCGGUGAAAUGCGUAGAUAUUAGGAGGAACACCAGUGGCGAAGGCGGCUUACUGGACUGAAACUGACGUUGAGGCUCGAAAGCGUGGGGAGCAAACAGGAUUAGAUACCCGAGUAGUC